Xiphophorus maculatus (southern platyfish) is the source of this 1275-nucleotide long non-coding RNA. RefSeq lists it as uncharacterized. The transcript has 3 exons. Lineage: Eukaryota; Metazoa; Chordata; Actinopteri; Cyprinodontiformes; Poeciliidae. The record is from RefSeq and is a predicted model, not a curated record.
GAACAGUGGCCCUCGAGGACUGGAGUUUGAGACCCCUGCUCUACAACAUCCACCAGAGUUGCCUUUGGAUGAGCGAGUCAAAAUUGCAUAUUCUGGCAGUGUCUUAUGUAAUUAAUUAUGAUAGUUGCAAACCAUUGUUUACUCCAACAAUACACAAUAAAAUAGAUUUUCUUUUUACAGAACAGAUCUUCAGACUAUAUUAGCAAAACUAUACAGCAAGGUUGAUAUGACUUUCUGUCCUACCAGCAACCAAAUAAAUGUGUGCAGAGACAGGAUUUUAGAAUGUACAGGAUUUUAGAAUGUAGCCUGUAUGCCUCCAGAAGACGCCAUUUUGAUCCAGCAGCAAAACUGGAUGUUAUUUUUGUGGAUGAAGAGGACAACGCUGAAGGGGCAGUUGAUGAAGGUGGUCCCACAUGAGAGCAUCUAAGACUGUUAAUGAGGGCCAUUCAUCAUUCUAAUGUCUUUGAGGGGCAUGGAAUGACCGCCAUCUUAGCUUUGGACACUAGUGGUCAGUAUUCUCCCCCCUCCCCCCCAAUUCUUAAGGAUGGAAAAUUGUCAAGUAACAUUUUUUUUCUUUAGCGCUGGAGUCAAAAAUGUACAACUGUAUUGGAAAAAUGAUAUCAGUCUGUUUGGUGCAUGGAGGCAUUGGACCACAUUUCUUCUCUCAAAGGCUGUAUGACCACAUUUGUGGCACAUUGCCUCACCCUACCCUGGUUGAGGAAGUUGUUAACCAUUCAUUCAGACAGCAGUUGAUCAAAGAUACAAACACAAUCGUGGAGGCAAACGAAGCCAUUAUGCAGCCAGCAGAUACCCUGAGCAUUGUUGGAGCAUUAAGGCAUGUAACUACUCUGGAAGAGAGGGACUCCCUUGUGCAAUCUGCUGCAGACUUCUCUGUAAAUGGCCGAGUGUGCACUGCAUUGCAACAAAGGAGAAUGCAGUCCCAUUACCUUUGAAAUGAUACUGGAGUUCGCUUCAGGAGCAUCCACGGUACCUCCACUGGGCUUUCCCCAUUGUCCACAAAUUGAAUUCCUCCAUGAGGCUAACAAAGUCUUCCCAGAAGCAAAUACUUGCCUAUAUUACUCCGACUUCCUGUACACCCAGAUUACAUGACAGACGGGGGCCUACCUUUGGUGUUGCAUAAGUGUAGUAAGCAGUUCUUUUUAAAAGGAGUUGGAAUGCUUUGAAAAGUUAAGUGUUUUAAAGCAAGUUAUAGUAAAGGUAAUGUAAUGGCCAAACUUGGAAAAUAUUCAAAUGAAAAUACAAUAUCUGCUUUUU